GAUGAACGCUGGCGGCGUGCCUAAUACAUGCAAGUCGAGCGAACGGACGAGAAGCUUGCUUCUCUGAUGUUAGCGGCGGACGGGUGUGUAACACGUGGUCAACCUACCUUUAAGACUGGGAUAACUUCGGGAAACCGGCGCUAAUACCGGAUAAUAUUUUGAACCGCAUGGUUCAAAAGUGAAAGACGGUCUUGCUGUUACUUAUAGAUGGAUCCGCGCUGCACUAGCUAGUUGGGAAGGUAACGGUUUACCAAGGCAACGAUGGAUAGCCGACCUGAGAGAGUGAACAUCCACCCAGCACCUGAGGCACGGUGGAGACUCGUGGAGGUAGCAGCCGUCGGAAAACUUCCGGAAGGGGCGAGAGCCUGACGGGGGACCACCGCGUGACUGAUGAAGGUCUUCAGAUCAUAAAACUCUGUUAUCAGGGAAGGACAUAUGUGUAAGUACCUGUGCACAUCUUGACGGUGCCUUGUCAGAGAGCCACGGCUAACUGCGUG
Molecule: ribosomal RNA, 497 nt
Filed under: uncultured bacterium
Lineage: Bacteria
Description: partial 16S ribosomal RNA
Rfam family: Bacterial small subunit ribosomal RNA
Source: RNAcentral